Molecule: ribosomal RNA, 2775 nt
Filed under: Dickeya oryzae NCPPB 3531
Lineage: Bacteria; Pseudomonadati; Pseudomonadota; Gammaproteobacteria; Enterobacterales; Pectobacteriaceae
Description: bacterial LSU rRNA
Rfam family: Bacterial large subunit ribosomal RNA
Source: RNAcentral
AGCGUACACGGUGGAUGCCUAGGCAGUCAGAGGCGAUGAAGGGCGUGCUAAUCUGCGAAAAGCGUCGGCAAGGUGAUAUGAACCGUUAUACCCGACGAUACCCGAAUGGGGAAACCCAGUGUGAUUCGUCACACUAUCAUUAACUGAAUCCAUAGGUUAAUGAGGCGAACCGGGGGAACUGAAACAUCUCAGUACCCCGAGGAAAAGAAAUCAACCGAGAUUCCCCCAGUAGCGGCGAGCGAACGGGGAGGAGCCCAGAACCUGAAUCGGCUUGUGUGUCAGUGGAAGCGUCUGGAAAGGCGCACGAUACAGGGUGACAGUCCCGUACACGAAGAUGCACAGGUCGUGAGUUCGACGAGUAGGGCGGGACACGUGGUAUCCUGUCUGAACAUGGGGGGACCAUCCUCCAAGGCUAAAUACUCCUGACUGACCGAUAGUGAACCAGUACCGUGAGGGAAAGGCGAAAAGAACCCCGGCGAGGGGAGUGAAAUAGAACCUGAAACCGUGUACGUACAAGCAGUGGGAGCACCUUUUAGGUGUGACUGCGUACCUUUUGUAUAAUGGGUCAGCGACUUAUAUUCUGUAGCAAGGUUAACCGAAUAGGGGAGCCGCAGGGAAACCGAGUCUUAACUGGGCGUCUAGUUGCAGGGUAUAGACCCGAAACCCGGUGAUCUAGCCAUGGGCAGGUUGAAGGUUGGGUAACACUAACUGGAGGACCGAACCGACUAAUGUUGAAAAAUUAGCGGAUGACUUGUGGCUGGGGGUGAAAGGCCAAUCAAACCGGGAGAUAGCUGGUUCUCCCCGAAAGCUAUUUAGGUAGCGCCUCGUGAAUUCAUCUUCGGGGGUAGAGCACUGUUUCGGCUAGGGGGCCAUCCCGGCUUACCAACCCGAUGCAAACUGCGAAUACCGAAGAAUGUUAUCACGGGAGACACACGGCGGGUGCUAACGUCCGUCGUGAAGAGGGAAACAACCCAGACCGCCAGCUAAGGUCCCAAAGUCAUGGUUAAGUGGGAAACGAUGUGGGAAGGCCCAGACAGCCAGGAUGUUGGCUUAGAAGCAGCCAUCAUUUAAAGAAAGCGUAAUAGCUCACUGGUCGAGUCGGCCUGCGCGGAAGAUGUAACGGGGCUAAAACCAUGCACCGAAGCUGCGGCAGCGACACUUAGGUGUUGUUGGGUAGGGGAGCGUUCUGUAAGCCUGUGAAGGUGGCCUGUGAGGGCUGCUGGAGGUAUCAGAAGUGCGAAUGCUGACAUAAGUAACGAUAAUGCGGGUGAAAAACCCGCACGCCGGAAGACCAAGGGUUCCUGUCCAACGUUAAUCGGGGCAGGGUGAGUCGACCCCUAAGGCGAGGCUGAAAAGCGUAGUCGAUGGGAAACAGGUUAAUAUUCCUGUACUUGGUGUUACUGCGAAGGGGGGACGGAGAAGGCUAUGUCAUCCGGGCGACGGUUGUCCCGGUUUAAGCGUGCAGGUGGGUGGACCAGGUAAAUCCGGUCUGCUGUCAACACUGAGGCGUGAUGACGAGGCACUACGGUGCUGAAGUGACAGAUGCCCGGCUUCCAGGAAAAGCCUCUAAGCAUCAGGUAACAUUGAAUCGUACCCCAAACCGACACAGGUGGUCAGGUAGAGAAUACUCAGGCGCUUGAGAGAACUCGGGUGAAGGAACUAGGCAAAAUGGUGCCGUAACUUCGGGAGAAGGCACGCUCCUGUUGGUGAAGUCCCUUGCGGAUGGAGCUGAGGGGAGUCGCAGAUACCAGCUGGCUGCAACUGUUUAAUAAAAACACAGCACUGUGCAAACACGAAAGUGGACGUAUACGGUGUGACGCCUGCCCGGUGCCGGAAGGUUAAUUGAUGGGGUUAUCCGUAAGGAGAAGCUCUUGAUCGAAGCCCCGGUAAACGGCGGCCGUAACUAUAACGGUCCUAAGGUAGCGAAAUUCCUUGUCGGGUAAGUUCCGACCUGCACGAAUGGCGUAAUGAUGGCCAGGCUGUCUCCACCCGAGACUCAGUGAAAUUGAACUCGCUGUGAAGAUGCAGUGUACCCGCGGCAAGACGGAAAGACCCCGUGAACCUUUACUAUAGCUUGACACUGAACCUUGAACCUUGAUGUGUAGGAUAGGUGGGAGGCUUUGAAGUGUGGACGCCAGUCUGCAUGGAGCCAACCUUGAAAUACCACCCUUUAAUGUUUGAUGUUCUAACCUGGGCCCGUAAUCCGGGCUGGGGACAGUGUCUGGUGGGUAGUUUGACUGGGGCGGUCUCCUCCCAAAGAGUAACGGAGGAGCACGAAGGUUAGCUAAUCCUGGUCGGACAUCAGGAGGUUAGUGCAAAGGCAUAAGCUAGCUUGACUGCGAGAGUGACGGCUCGAGCAGGUGCGAAAGCAGGUCUUAGUGAUCCGGUGGUUCUGAAUGGAAGGGCCAUCGCUCAACGGAUAAAAGGUACUCCGGGGAUAACAGGCUGAUACCGCCCAAGAGUUCAUAUCGACGGCGGUGUUUGGCACCUCGAUGUCGGCUCAUCACAUCCUGGGGCUGAAGUAGGUCCCAAGGGUAUGGCUGUUCGCCAUUUAAAGUGGUACGCGAGCUGGGUUUAGAACGUCGUGAGACAGUUCGGUCCCUAUCUGCCGUGGGCGUUGGAAGAUUGAGGGGGGUUGCUCCUAGUACGAGAGGACCGGAGUGAACGCACCGCUGGUGUUCGGGUUGUCAUGCCAAUGGCACUGCCCGGUAGCUACGUGCGGAAGAGAUAACCGCUGAAAGCAUCUAAGCGGGAAACUUGCCCCGAGAUGAGUCU